RNAcentral lists this ribosomal RNA (451 nucleotides) under uncultured bacterium. RNAcentral describes it as "partial 16S ribosomal RNA". It matches the Rfam family "Bacterial small subunit ribosomal RNA", at positions 354 to 796 of the family's 1533-position model. The record is from RNAcentral.
GUGGGGAAUAUUGGACAAUGGGGGGAACCCUGAUCCAGCCAUGCCGCGUGUGUGAAGAAGGCCUUUUGGUUGUAAAGCACUUUAAGCGAGGAGGAGGCUACCGAGAUUAAUACUCUUGGAUAGUGGACGUUACUCGCAGAAUAAGCACCGGCUAACUCUGUGCCAGCAGCCGCGGUAAUACAGAGGGUGCAAGCGUUAAUCGGAUUUACUGGGCGUAAAGCGCGCGUAGGUGGCCAAUUAAGUCAAAUGUGAAAUCCCCGAGCUUAACUUGGGAAUUGCAUUGGAUACUGGUUGGCUAGAGUAUGGGAGAGGAUGGUAGAAUUCCAGGUGUAGCGGUGAAAUGCGUAGAGAUCUGGAGGAAUACCGAUGGCGAAGGCAGCCAUCUGGCCUAAUACUGACGCUGAGGUACGAAAGCAUGGGGAGCAAACAGGAUUAGAAACCCGUGUAGUCC